AGAGUUUGAUCCUGGCUCAGGAUGAACGCUGGCGGCGUGCCUAAUACAUGCAAGUCGAGCGAACGGACGAGAAGCUUGCUUCUCUGAUGUUAGCGGCGGACGGGUGAGUAACACGUGGAUAACCUACCUAUAAGACUGGGAUAACUUCGGGAAACCGGAGCUAAUACCGGAUAAUAUUUUGAACCGCAUGGUUCAAAAGUGAAAGACGGUCUUGCUGUCACUUAUAGAUGGAUCCGCGCUGCAUUAGCUAGUUGGUAAGGUAACGGCUUACCAAGGCAACGAUGCAUAGCCGACCUGAGAGGGUGAUUGGCCACACUGGAACUGAGACACGGUCCAGACUCCUACGGGAGGCAGCAGUAGGGAAUCUUCCGCAAUGGGCGAAAGCCUGACGGAGCAACGCCGCGUGAGUGAUGAAGGUCUUCGGAUCGUAAAACUCUGUUAUUAGGGAAGAACAUAUGUGUAAGUAACUGUGCACAUCUUGACGGUACCUAAUCAGAAAGCCACGGCUAACUACGUGCCAGCAGCCGCGGUAAUACGUAGGUGGCAAGCGUUAUCCGGAAUUAUUGGGCGUAAAGCGCGCGUAGGCGGUUUUUUAAGUCUGAUGUGAAAGCCCACGGCUCAACCGUGGAGGGUCAUUGGAAACUGGAAAACUUGAGUGCAGAAGAGGAAAGUGGAAUUCCAUGUGUAGCGGUGAAAUGCGCAGAGAUAUGGAGGAACACCAGUGGCGAAGGCGACUUUCUGGUCUGUAACUGACGCUGAUGUGCGAAAGCGUGGGGAUCAAACAGGAUUAGAUACCCUGGUAGUCCACGCCGUAAACGAUGAGUGCUAAGUGUUAGGGGGUUUCCGCCCCUUAGUGCUGCAGCUAACGCAUUAAGCACUCCGCCUGGGGAGUACGACCGCAAGGUUGAAACUCAAAGGAAUUGACGGGGACCCGCACAAGCGGUGGAGCAUGUGGUUUAAUUCGAAGCAACGCGAAGAACCUUACCAAAUCUUGACAUCCUUUGACAACUCUAGAGAUAGAGCCUUCCCCUUCGGGGGACAAAGUGACAGGUGGUGCAUGGUUGUCGUCAGCUCGUGUCAUGAGAUGUUGGGUUAAGUCCCGCAACGAGCGCAACCCUUAAGCUUAGUUGCCAUCAUUAAGUUGGGCACUCUAAGUUGACUGCCGGUGACAAACCGGAGGAAGGUGGGGAUGACGUCAAAUCAUCAUGCCCCUUAUGAUUUGGGCUACACACGUGCUACAAUGGACAAUACAAAGGGCAGCGAAACCGCGAGGUCAAGCAAAUCCCAUAAAGUUGUUCUCAGUUCGGAUUGUAGUCUGCAACUCGACUACAUGAAGCUGGAAUCGCUAGUAAUCGUAGAUCAGCAUGCUACGGUGAAUACGUUCCCGGGUCUUGUACACACCGCCCGUCACACCACGAGAGUUUGUAACACCCGAAGCCGGUGGAGUAACCUUUUAGGAGCUAGCCGUCGAAGGUGGGACAAAUGAUUGGGGUGAAGUCGUAACAAGGUAGCCGUAUCGGAAGGUGCGGCUGGAUCACCU
RNAcentral lists this ribosomal RNA (1540 nucleotides) under Staphylococcus aureus VET1088S. RNAcentral describes it as "16S ribosomal RNA". It matches the Rfam family "Bacterial small subunit ribosomal RNA". Lineage: Bacteria; Bacillati; Bacillota; Bacilli; Caryophanales; Staphylococcaceae. The record is from RNAcentral.